GGGCCUGUAGCUCAGAUGGCUAGAGCGCGACAAUCGCACUGUCGAGGCCAGGGGUUCGAGUCCCCUCAGGUCCACCA
RNAcentral lists this transfer RNA (77 nucleotides) under candidate division WWE3 bacterium CG_4_10_14_0_2_um_filter_41_14. RNAcentral's name for it is "tRNA-Ala". It matches the Rfam family "tRNA". Rfam says of the family: Transfer RNA (tRNA) molecules are approximately 80 nucleotides in length. Their secondary structure includes four short double-helical elements and three loops (D, anti-codon, and T loops). Lineage: Bacteria; candidate division WWE3. RNAcentral also lists the same sequence under 1 other name. The record is from RNAcentral.